UACAGAGGCCACAAGCGUUAGUCGGAAUCACUGGGCUUAAAGGGUGCGUAGGCGGCUCGACAAGUGCUUUGUGAAAUCCCGGGGCUCAAUCCCGGAACAGCAGGGCAUACUUUCGAGCUUGAGGCAGGUAGGGGUCGCGAGAACAGUAGGUGGAGCGGUGAAAUGCGUAGAUAUCUACUGGAAUGCCGAUGGUGAAGACGCGCGACUGGGCCUGUCCUGACGCUGAGGCACGAAAGCGUGGGGAGCAAACAGG
RNAcentral lists this ribosomal RNA (253 nucleotides) under uncultured bacterium. RNAcentral's name for it is "partial 16S ribosomal RNA". It matches the Rfam family "Bacterial small subunit ribosomal RNA", at positions 524 to 776 of the family's 1533-position model. The record is from RNAcentral.